AAGUAACAUCUAAAAAAUUUACAACGUUCAUAUUUACUUCGGCGGUGAUUUUCAGGUCAAAUUGCUCGAAAAUUUUGUGUAGCUCUUUUCUAAUUUCUAUAGGCUACACAAAAUUUUCGAGCAAUUUGACCUGAAAAUCACCGCCGAAGUAAAUAUGAACGUUGUAAAUUUUUUAGAUGUUACUU
This 185-nucleotide microRNA precursor is filed under the name Paramuricea clavata. The record is from RNAcentral. Lineage: Eukaryota; Metazoa; Cnidaria; Anthozoa; Malacalcyonacea; Plexauridae.